This 492-nucleotide ribosomal RNA is filed under the name uncultured bacterium. Its description in RNAcentral is "partial 16S ribosomal RNA". It matches the Rfam family "Bacterial small subunit ribosomal RNA", at positions 29 to 507 of the family's 1533-position model. The record is from RNAcentral.
AGUGAACGCUGGCGGUAGGCCUAACACAUGCAAGUCGAACGGCAGCACAUUAAUAGCUUUCUCUUACGGGUGGCGAGUGGCGGACGGGUGAGGAAUACAUCGGAAUCUACUUUUUCGUGGGGGAUAACGUAGGGAAACUUACUCGAAUACCGCAUACGACCUACGGGUGAAAGCAGGGGAUCUUCGGACCUUGCGCGAUUGAAUGAGCCGAUGUCGGAUUAGCUAGUUGGCGGGGUAAAGGCCCACCAAGGCGACGAUCCGUAGCUGGUCUGAGAGGAUGAUCAGCCACCCUGGAACUGAGACACGGUCCAGGCUCCUAAGGGAGGCAGCAGUGGGGAAUAUUGGACAAAGGGCGCAAGCCUGAUCCAGCCAUACCGGGUGGGUGAAGAAGGCCUUCGGGUUGUAAAGCCCUUUUGUUGGGAAAGAAAAGCAGCAGGUUAAUACCCCGCUGUUCUGACGGUACCCAAAGAAUAAGCACCGGCUAACUUCGUG